RNAcentral lists this ribosomal RNA (429 nucleotides) under Chloroflexota bacterium. RNAcentral describes it as "Chloroflexi bacterium partial 16S ribosomal RNA". It matches the Rfam family "Bacterial small subunit ribosomal RNA", at positions 355 to 776 of the family's 1533-position model. Lineage: Bacteria; Bacillati; Chloroflexota. The record is from RNAcentral.
UGGGGAAUAUUGCACAAUGGGCGCAAGCCUGAUGCAGCCAUGCCGCGUGUGUGAAGAAGGCCUUCGGGUUGUAAAGCACUUUCAGCGGGGAGGAAGGCGGUGAGGUUAAUAACCUCAUCGAUUGACGUUACCCGCAGAAGAAGCACCGGCUAACUCCGUGCCAGCAGCCGCGGUAAUACGGAGGGUGCAAGCGUUAAUCGGAAUUACUGGGCGUAAAGCGCACGCAGGCGGUCUGUCAAGUCGGAUGUGAAAUCCCCGGGCUCAACCUGGGAACUGCAUUCGAAACUGGCAGGCUAGAGUCUUGUAGAGGGGGGUAGAAUUCCAGGUGUAGCGGUGAAAUGCGUAGAGAUCUGGAGGAAUACCGGUGGCGAAGGCGGCCCCCUGGACGAAGACUGACGCUCAGGUGCGAAAGAGUGGGGAGCAAACAGG